RNAcentral lists this ribosomal RNA (429 nucleotides) under Verrucomicrobiota bacterium. RNAcentral describes it as "Verrucomicrobia bacterium partial 16S ribosomal RNA". It matches the Rfam family "Bacterial small subunit ribosomal RNA", at positions 355 to 776 of the family's 1533-position model. Lineage: Bacteria; Pseudomonadati; Verrucomicrobiota. The record is from RNAcentral.
UAGGGAAUCUUCCGCAAUGGACGAAAGUCUGACGGAGCAACGCCGCGUGAGUGAAGAAGGAUUUCGGUUCGUAAAACUCUGUUGUUAGGGAAGAAAAAAUGUAUAGUAACUAUAUACAAAAGAGACGGUACCUAACCAGAAAGCCACGGCUAACUACGUGCUAGCAGCCGCGGUAAUACGUAGGUGGCAAGCGUUGUCCGGAAUUAUUGGGCGUAAAGCGCGCGCAGGUGGUUUAGAAAGUCUGAUGUGAAAGCCCACGGCUCAACCGUGGAGGGUCAUUGGAAACUAAUAAACUUGGGUGCAGGAGAGAAAAGUGGAAUUCCUAGUGUAGCGGUGAAAUGCGUAGAGAUUAGGAGGAACACCGGUGGCGAAGGCGACUUUCUGGACUUUUACUGACGCUCAGGUACGAAAGCGUGGGGAGCAAACAGG